CAGUGGGGAAUAUUGGGCAAUGGGAGCAAGCCGGACACAGCAACGCCGCGUGAAGGAAGAAGGCUUUCGGGUUGGAAACUUCUUUUGUCAGGGAAGAGUAGAAGACGGGACCGGACGAAUAAGCCACGGCUAACUACGUGCCAGCAGCCGCGGGAAGACGUAGGGGGCAAGCGUUGUCCGGAUUUACUGGGUGUAAAGGGCGGGUAGCCGGGUUGAAAAGUCAGAUGUGAAAUCCUGCGGCUUAACCGCAGAACUGCAUUUGAAACUGUUGCUCUUGAGUACUGGAGAGGCAGCCGGAAUUCCUAGUGUAGCGGUGAAAUGCGUAGAUAUUAGGAGGAACACCAGUGGCGACGGCGGUCUGCUGGACAGCACCUGACGGUGAGGCGCGAAAGCGUGGGGAGCAAACCGGAUUAGAUACCCCAGUAGUC
This 428-nucleotide ribosomal RNA is filed under the name uncultured bacterium. RNAcentral's name for it is "partial 16S ribosomal RNA". It matches the Rfam family "Bacterial small subunit ribosomal RNA", at positions 352 to 795 of the family's 1533-position model. The record is from RNAcentral.